Molecule: ribosomal RNA, 406 nt
Filed under: uncultured bacterium
Lineage: Bacteria
Description: partial 16S ribosomal RNA
Rfam family: Bacterial small subunit ribosomal RNA
Source: RNAcentral
AUUGAACGCUAGCGGCAGGCCUAACACAUGCAAGUCGAACGAGUGGCGGACGGGAGAGUAAUGUCUGGGAAACUGCCUGAUGGAGGGGGAUAACUACUGGAAACGGUAGCUAAUACCGCAUACCAUCAGAUGUGCCCAGAUGGGCUUGGCUAGUUGGUGGGGGAAGGGCGCACCAAGGCGACGAUCCCUAGCUGGUCUGAGAGGAUGACGAGCCAAACUGGAACUGAGACACGUGCCAGACUCCUACGGGAGGCAGCAGUGGGGAAUAUUGGACAAUGGGCGCAAGCCUGAUGCAGCCAUGCCGGGUGUAUGAAGAAGGCCUUCGGGUUGUAAAGUACUUUCAGCGGGGAGGCGUUACCCGCAGAAGAAGCACCGGCUAACUCCGUGCCAGCAGCCGCGGUAAUUC